RNAcentral lists this ribosomal RNA (253 nucleotides) under uncultured bacterium. Its description in RNAcentral is "partial 16S ribosomal RNA". It matches the Rfam family "Bacterial small subunit ribosomal RNA", at positions 524 to 776 of the family's 1533-position model. The record is from RNAcentral.
UACGGGGGUGGCAAGCGUUGUUCGGAAUUACUGGGCGUAAAGGGCGCGUAGGCGGGGAGGUAAGUCGAACGUGAAAUCCCUGGGCUCAACCCAGGAACUGCGUCCGAUACUGGUUGGCUUGAAUCCGGGAGAGGGAUGUGGAAUUCCAGGUGUAGCGGUGAAAUGCGUAGAUAUCUGGAGGAACACCGGUGGCGAAGGCGACAUCCUGGACCGGUAUUGACGCUGAGGCGCGAAAGCCAGGGGAGCAAACGGG